UCCGUGUUCACCACGGCAGUCUCCUUAGAGAGCCCAACUUAAUGCUGGCAACUAAGGACAAGGGUUGCGCUCGUUGCGGGACUUAACCCAACAUGUCACCACACGAGCUGACGACAGCCAUGCAGCACCUGUCUCUCUGCGGUAUUGCUACCGAGACCCUAUCUCUAGGGCUGUCAGAGGAUGUCAAAUCCAGGUAAGGUUCUUCGCGUUGCUUCGAAUUAAACCACAUGAUCCACCGCUUGUGCGGGCCCCCGUCAAUUCCUUUGAGUUUUAGUCUUGCGACCGUACUUCCCAGGCGGGGUACUUAGUGCGUUAGCGCCGGUUCGGCGGGGGUCAAGACCCACCAAACCUAGUACCCAUCGUUUACAGCGUGGACUAC
This 379-nucleotide unclassified non-coding RNA is filed under the name uncultured Oligoflexales bacterium. RNAcentral describes it as "contains 16S-23S intergenic spacer region". The record is from RNAcentral. Lineage: Bacteria; Pseudomonadati; Bdellovibrionota; Oligoflexia; Oligoflexales.